UACGUAGGGUGCGAGCGUUGUCCGGAGUUACUGGGCGUAAAGGGUGCGCAGGCGGCCCGACAGGUGUGUGGUGAAAUCUCCCGGCUUACCUGGGAGGGGGCCACGCAAACCGUUGGGCUUGAGGCUCGGGGAGGGGCGUGGAAUUCCGGGUGGAGCGGUGAAAUGCGCAGAUAUCAGGAGGAACACCGGUGGCGAAGGCGGGUCUCUGGGCCGUUACUGACGCUGAGGAGCGAAAGCGUGGGGAGCGAACAGG
Molecule: ribosomal RNA, 253 nt
Filed under: uncultured bacterium
Lineage: Bacteria
Description: partial 16S ribosomal RNA
Rfam family: Bacterial small subunit ribosomal RNA
Source: RNAcentral